This 275-nucleotide ribosomal RNA is filed under the name uncultured bacterium. RNAcentral describes it as "partial 16S ribosomal RNA". It matches the Rfam family "Bacterial small subunit ribosomal RNA", at positions 79 to 354 of the family's 1533-position model. The record is from RNAcentral.
CGCGUCCCGCCGGCGACCGGCGCACGGGUGAGUAACACGUAUGCAACCUGCCCCUGUCAGGGGGCAACCCGCCGAAAGGCGGGCUAAACCCGCGUACAUGCCACCGGGGCAUCCCGGAGGCAGGAAAGGCUUCGGCCGGACAGGGAUGGGCAUGCGGCGCAUUAGGCAGUAGGCGGGGUAACGGCCCACCUAACCGACGAUGCGUAGGGGUUCUGAGAGGAAGGUCCCCCACACUGGUACUGAGACACGGACCAGACUCCUACGGAAGGCAGCAG